RNAcentral lists this ribosomal RNA (292 nucleotides) under uncultured bacterium. RNAcentral describes it as "partial 16S ribosomal RNA". The record is from RNAcentral.
GGACUACACGGGUAUCUAAUCCUGUUUGCUCCCCACGCUGUCGCGCCUCAGUGUCAGCCACACCCCAGCAAGCCGCCUUCGCCACCGGUGUUCUUCCGGAUCUCUACGCAUUCCACCGCUACACCCGGAAUUCCACUUGCCUCUAGUGUGCUCUAGCUCAGCAGUCGGUCCGGCAGACCCGGGGUUGAGCCCCGGGCUUUCACCGCCCCCUUACCAAGCCACCUACGCGCCCUUUACGCCCAGUGAUUCCGGACAACGCUCGCACCCUCCGUAUUACCGCGGCUGCUGGCAC